CAAAGGCCUAACCGAGCAACUGAAAGCAAAC
Molecule: non-coding RNA, 31 nt
Filed under: Rattus norvegicus (Norway rat)
Lineage: Eukaryota; Metazoa; Chordata; Mammalia; Rodentia; Muridae
Source: RNAcentral